AUUGAACGCUGGCGGCAGGCCUAACACAUGCAAGUCGAACGGUAACAGGAAGAAGCUUGCUUCUUUGCUGACGAGUGGCGGACGGGUGAGUAAUGUCUGGGAAACUGCCUGAUGGAGGGGGAUAACUACUGGAAACGGUAGCUAAUACCGCAUAACGUCGCAAGACCAAAGAGGGGGACCUUCGGGCCUCUUGCCAUCGGAUGUGCCCAGAUGGGAUUAGCUAGUAGGUGGGGUAACGGCUCACCUAGGCGACGAUCCCUAGCUGGUCUGAGAGGAUGACCGGCCACACUGGAACUGAGACACGGUCCAGACUCCUACGGGAGGCAGCAGUGGGGAAUAUUGCACAAUGGGCGCAAGCCUGAUGCAGCCAUGCCGCGUGGAUGAAGAAGGCCUUCGGGUUGUAAAGUACUUUCAGCGGGGAGGAAGGGAGUAAAGUUAAUACCUUUACUCAUUGACGUUACCCGCAGAAGAAGCACCGGCUAACUCCGU
RNAcentral lists this ribosomal RNA (489 nucleotides) under uncultured bacterium. RNAcentral's name for it is "partial 16S ribosomal RNA". It matches the Rfam family "Bacterial small subunit ribosomal RNA", at positions 30 to 506 of the family's 1533-position model. The record is from RNAcentral.